This 24-nucleotide non-coding RNA is filed under the name Arabidopsis thaliana (thale cress). Lineage: Eukaryota; Viridiplantae; Streptophyta; Magnoliopsida; Brassicales; Brassicaceae. The record is from RNAcentral.
GACGAGAUUAAAGCAGUGAUGCCA